RNAcentral lists this ribosomal RNA (124 nucleotides) under Aquila chrysaetos chrysaetos. Lineage: Eukaryota; Metazoa; Chordata; Aves; Accipitriformes; Accipitridae. The record is from RNAcentral.
GCCUACGGCCAUACCACCCUGAGGAACGCCCGAUCUCGUUCUCGAUUCUCGGAAAGCUAAGCAGGGUCGGGCCCGGUUAGUACUUGGAUGGGAGACCGCCUGGGAAUACCGGGUGCUGUAGGCU